UUGGCACAUUGGCACAUUGAUUGAUUUAUUGUUGCUAGCCUGUACUACGGGCCUGGGAUGCCUUACAUGAAUGCACUUCUAGUUUAGACAUUACAGUCAGGCUGUCUUGUAGACUGCUCAGGGGUCCUGUUAUGGGGCCGAUCAGGUAGUGACACAGCGUACCGUAAUGUUCUGAAUAUCCAUUGUGCGGAGCGGCUCCGUUGCUUACCAAAGUCGUACUUACAUAUUUCGACAGACUUUUGAGCGCAUUGUACCACAUAAAAGCGGUCGGGAAGCACUAGUAAUCAUACAUAAGGCGAGCUAGAUUAUAAGGCGCACUGUCAAUUUUUGAGAAAAAAAGGGAUUUUAAGCACACCUUAUUGUUUGAAAAAUACUGUAAGUAUAAUAACUGGAGAAAGAAAAAUAUCAAAUCUGAUUCUUCAGACCAUGGCGCAGUUCUCUAUUUUGCCAGGGUUUACCUUAAACAAGCUUGGGCUUAAAGAUUCUGAUCAUGUGUAUACACGUCUUUCUCUUCACAUGGUACACCUACAUUUGUGGAUGCAGCGACAAACUGUAAUCACAGAUAAAAAUCAUGUCUGUUUUUUGUAGUGCUACCAAAGAUCAUAGUCAUCCAGAAUCAGUUUUUGACCUUGUCUUUUUUGUGCAUAGUUUUCUCCAGAUUUUCUGAAUCUUUUCUUGAUACUUGGUCCCGUAGAUGAUAAGAUCCCCAAGUUCUUAAAGGAACGGUGUUCUGAAACUGCUGGACGAUUUCCUUACCCAAUCUCUUAUGAAGUUGUAAACCUCUACUCACAUUUACUUCUAAGACACUCAGCUUUUCUGAGUGCUCAUUUACAUGCAGUCAUGUCACCAACUUGUUGCAGAUUUUCGUAAAUAUAUGGAAGAUGUUCAUCCAGGUGUGUUUUUAAACUUACAUAACCUUUACAACGUUCGUAUCACAACUUUUUCAAACAUCAAAAUUAGAAUAGAUUUAUCAUAAAACAGUAAAAAAAAUUUCAGUACACCAAGAACAGGUUUUGUAUCGGACAGAAGGGUCAACCAUGAUUUGUGUUCAUGGUCAAUUAUGGAUGAAAAUGUAAUGGAGUAUGGCAUCAAAACAAAUAAGAUAACAGUUGGUUCUACCACCUUAAAUUGUAAGUAUGUUAUAACCCAGCCUGACACACACACACACACACACACACACACACACACACACACACACACACACACACACACACACACACACACACACACACACACACACACAGAGUAUUGGACAGCUCUUUGAAUUGCCGGGGUUCCCUUAAAAGCCUGUGCGGGGGACAGACACAGAGAAAGAAAGAAAGAGAGACAGGCAUCACUUAACACUUGGUCACUGCUGAGUCCCUUUUUUAUCUCGGGGAAUGCCCUUCGUGCUCCUUUCUCUGUUUCACAGAAAACACUCAGACUUUUGCUUUUAGUACACUUUCUAAAUACUCCCGCUGAGAAACAAAGAAGCUGAAGUAGACCUUUAUGAGAGAGCUAAUGCAUUGGCUACUAGCCAGAGGAUAUGCUACGGGCAUGGGGAGCAGUUUGAGGAAUCCAGGCUAUAAAAUAGUGUACAGCAGGCUCUUUCAAGUUUGGGAAUGGGUAAUUUAAGGAAUGUGGGGCUAUAUCUCACUCACCUGUGAGACAAGAGGUGGGUCCAGAUUUCAUGUCAGCUUUAGUAGCCGUGGAAUGGAUGAAGGAGAAAGAGGUCUGGUACAGUACAAUGGUCUUGGCUUAAGCUAUGGAGGCUGUUUGUCAUGUGGACAUUCACCUUAAAGGAUGGGUAUUAUACUUUUCCACAUUUACAACAAAAAUGUAAAGUUACAGUGUUUAGUGUCCCCAUACUAGAUGUAUUUAAUUUUUUUAAAUCAGGAGGUAAAUGUAUGUUGUAAUCAUCCUAGAAAAUGGAUAUAAACUGCUCAAAAUGGUUUGUCCUGAGAUCACACAAGACUCAAUGAGCUAAUGAUGGGGGGGGGGGGGGGGGGACUUGGAGAGACAGCAGCUUAA
RNAcentral lists this long non-coding RNA (2010 nucleotides) under Xyrichtys novacula (pearly razorfish). The record is from RNAcentral. Lineage: Eukaryota; Metazoa; Chordata; Actinopteri; Labriformes; Labridae.